RNAcentral lists this ribosomal RNA (353 nucleotides) under uncultured Methanosaeta sp. RNAcentral describes it as "bacterial SSU rRNA". It matches the Rfam family "Archaeal small subunit ribosomal RNA", at positions 100 to 454 of the family's 1478-position model. Lineage: Archaea; Methanobacteriati; Methanobacteriota; Methanomicrobia; Methanotrichales; Methanotrichaceae. The record is from RNAcentral.
GUGGACAACCUACCCUCCGGACGGGUAUAAACCCGGGAAACUGGGUAUAAUCCCCGAUAGAUCUCGGUCGCUGGAAAGCCCCGAGAUCGAAAGCUCCGGCGCCAGAGGAUGGGUCUGCGGCCUAUCAGGUAGUAGUGGGUGUAGCGUACCUACUAGCCUACGACGGGUACGGGUUGUGAGAGCAAGAGCCCGGAGAUGGAUUCUGAGACACGAAUCCAGGCCCUACGGGGUGCAGCAGGCGCGAAAACUUUACAAUGCCGGCAACGGCGAUAAGGGGACCUCGAGUGCCAGGUUACAAAUCUGGCUGUCGGGAUGCCUAAAAAGCAUUGCAUAGCAAGGGCCGGGCAAGACCG